UACAGAGGGGGCAAGCGUUAUUCGGAAUUACUGGGCGUAAAGCGUGCGCAGGCGGUGAUGUAAGACCGAUGUGAAAUCCCCGGGCUUAACCUGGGAACUGCAUUGGUGACUGCAUCGCUCGAGUAUGGCAGAGGGGGGUAGAAUUCCACGUGUAGCAGUGAAAUGCGUAGAGAUGUGGAGGAAUACCGAUGGCGAAGGCAGCCCCCUGGGUCAAUACUGACGCUCAUGCACGAAAGCGUGGGGAGCAAACAGG
Molecule: ribosomal RNA, 253 nt
Filed under: uncultured bacterium
Lineage: Bacteria
Description: partial 16S ribosomal RNA
Rfam family: Bacterial small subunit ribosomal RNA
Source: RNAcentral